RNAcentral lists this RNase P RNA (359 nucleotides) under Sulfurimonas sp. Its description in RNAcentral is "RNase P RNA component class A". It matches the Rfam family "Bacterial RNase P class A". Rfam says of the family: Ribonuclease P (RNase P) is a ubiquitous endoribonuclease, found in archaea, bacteria and eukarya as well as chloroplasts and mitochondria. Lineage: Bacteria; Pseudomonadati; Campylobacterota; Epsilonproteobacteria; Campylobacterales; Sulfurimonadaceae. The record is from RNAcentral.
CAGGUGCAACAGAUAGUUACUUGAUUGAUUUCAAGAGGAAAGUCCGAGCUGCUAUAAGACAGUGUUCCAUUUAACUAAUGGCCGUAGCAAUACGAGGGAAAGUGCAACAGAGAGUAGACUGCCGCUUUAUAGCGGUAAAGGUGAAAGGGUGGGGUAAGAGCCCACCAGUCUCUAUAGCAAUAUGGAGAGCUUGUAAACCCAACAUGGCAGCAAGAAACAGAUGGUCAGCGUCUUAAGGGAAGAGUUACGGUGGCAACACUGAACUCUUCUUAUGCUACUGUUUCGCUAGAGUUACUAUGUAAAUAGUAAAGUAGAUUAAUACUAUCAAAACAAAACUCGGCUUAUGUUGUGCCUACCUC